Triticum dicoccoides is the source of this 617-nucleotide long non-coding RNA. RefSeq lists it as uncharacterized. The record is from RefSeq and is a predicted model, not a curated record. The transcript has 2 exons. Lineage: Eukaryota; Viridiplantae; Streptophyta; Magnoliopsida; Poales; Poaceae.
AAAAGAUGUCAUGAAGAAUUUCUUUGAGAGAAUUUGCGUGAGGUGUGUCUAAAUGAUUUUUAUCUUCUGAACAUAUUCUUGUAUGACUAACUGAAUUCAUUUUCUCAAAACGUUGGUACUUUUCCUUUUUCAUUUAUGUUGCUCGACUGAGUCUCUCUCAGAUCAUGUACACUCCACAUGCUAGCUGAUCUGUAGCAGUGCGGAAGGUGAGCUUGGCUGCCGGCAGCAGCUCCUUUGGCUGAUCUGCGGCGAUGCAGAAGUUGGGUUGGAAAAAAGCACGACCGGCUGCUCUGAAGUGGGUCGUAGGGAGAGCUUCGUAAGAGAUAGGGAGGGAGCUCUAUUGGCCCGUGCAUGACAUCCAACCCAAUGGCAUCAUGCCCUGGUAGGCAUGGUUGCAUGGCCACGGGGAGAAUGGAGCAAGUAGCGUGUGAGGAGUUUAAGAAAUGGGGACAAGGGACAGUUUAGUUAAUUAAGUCUAUGUUAGUUUCAAGUUUUAUCCUUGUUGCGGUAAAAAAUUAAGGUUGGAUUAACCACCAUGUACAUCUUUAAUUACUUUUAAAUAAGAAAUAUAAUCAAAAUAUUCUUUUGAAAUCAUAAAAUUUAUAUAAUUUGUACAA